Molecule: ribosomal RNA, 427 nt
Filed under: uncultured bacterium
Lineage: Bacteria
Description: bacterial SSU rRNA
Rfam family: Bacterial small subunit ribosomal RNA
Source: RNAcentral
UGGGGAAUUGUUCGCAAUGGGCGCAAGCCUGACGACGCAACGCCGCGUGGAGGAUGAAGGUCUUCGGAUUGUAAACUCCUGUUGCUCGGGACGAAAAGCUUCGACCUAACACGUCGAAGUCUGACGGUACCGAGUGAGGAAGCCCCGGCUAACUCUGUGCCAGCAGCCGCGGUAAUACAGAGGGGGCAAGCGUUGUUCGGAAUUACUGGGCGUAAAGGGCGCGUAGGCGGCCUGCUAAGUCGAACGUGAAAUCCCUGGGCUCAACCCAGGAACUGCGUCCGAUACUGGUUGGCUUGAAUCCGGGAGAGGGACGUGGAAUUCCAGGUGUAGCGGUGAAAUGCGUAGAUAUCUGGAGGAACACCGGUGGCGAAGGCGACGUCCUGGACCGGCAUUGACGCUGAGGCGCGAAAGCCAGGGGAGCAAACGG